CCAAAGUGCAAAUUUGGAGACGCACCUUGAGAGGUGCCGGGGCUUCUCCCCC
RNAcentral lists this transfer RNA (52 nucleotides) under Sphaerodactylus klauberi. RNAcentral's name for it is "tRNA-Cys". The record is from RNAcentral. Lineage: Eukaryota; Metazoa; Chordata; Lepidosauria; Squamata; Sphaerodactylidae.